CUACGGGGGGCACCAGUGGGGAAUAUUGCACAAUGGAGGAAACUCUGAUGCAGCAACGCCGCGUGGAGGAUGACACUUUUCGGAGCGUAAACUCCUUUUAUAUAGGAAGAAGAUGACGGUACUAUAUGAAUAAGCGCCGGCUAACUCCGUGCCAGCAGCCGCGGUAAUACGGAGGGCGCAAGCGUUACUCGGAAUCACUGGGCGUAAAGAGCGUGUAGGCGGAUUAACAAGUCAGAAGUGAAAUCCUAUAGCUUAACUAUAGAACUGCUUCUGAAACUGUUAAUCUAGAGUAUGGGAGAGGUAGAUGGAAUUUCUGGUGUAGGGGUAAAAUCCGUAGAGAUCAGAAGGAAUACCGAUUGCGAAGGCGAUCUACUAGAACAUUAUUGACGCUGAGACGCGAAAGCGUGGGGAGCAAACAGGAUUAGAUACCCGAGUAGUC
Molecule: ribosomal RNA, 439 nt
Filed under: uncultured bacterium
Lineage: Bacteria
Description: partial 16S ribosomal RNA
Rfam family: Bacterial small subunit ribosomal RNA
Source: RNAcentral